This is a non-coding RNA of Pelobates cultripes (western spadefoot toad), 250 nucleotides long. The record is from the annotation of a GenBank genome assembly. Lineage: Eukaryota; Metazoa; Chordata; Amphibia; Anura; Pelobatidae.
CGAUAUCCAGUGGGCCCCACAGUUUCUCGAUUGUCUGAAAGACUGAAGCGUGUAGAUGCAAAUCUCCUGUGUCCCGAAGGUAUCUCGAAUUCCAGUCUGCCCAUGAAUUGUGCAAUCCUGGAAUAUGUUACGCUAUGAUCACUGAUAGUUUGUUGAGAAGGCAAAACUGCCAGAAGUUUUUUGCCAGGUUUGCCAAUAGUUUCAACUUUGUACCCCAUAGGCGAUUGAUAUAGUUCACAGCCGACACGUU